This 253-nucleotide ribosomal RNA is filed under the name uncultured bacterium. Its description in RNAcentral is "partial 16S ribosomal RNA". It matches the Rfam family "Bacterial small subunit ribosomal RNA", at positions 524 to 776 of the family's 1533-position model. The record is from RNAcentral.
UACGAAGGGGGCUAGCGUUGCUCGGAAUUACUGGGCGUAAAGGGCGCGUAGGCGGCCGAUCAAGUCGGGGGUGAAAGCCUGUGGCUCAACCACAGAAUUGCCUUCGAUACUGUUUGGCUUGAGACCGGAAGAGGUAAGUGGAACUGCGAGUGUAGAGGUGAAAUUCGUAGAUAUUCGCAAGAACACCAGUGGCGAAGGCGGCUUACUGGUCCGGUUCUGACGCUGAGGCGCGAAAGCGUGGGGAGCAAACAGG